CCCAGACUCCUACGGGAGGCAGCAGUGAGGAAUAUUGGUCAAUGGGCUUACGCCUGAACCAGCCAAGUCGCGUGAGGGAAGACGGCCCUACGGGUUGUAAACCUCUUUUGUCGGGGAGCAAAGCGAACCACGUGUGGUUCAUUGAGAGUACCCGAAGAAAAAGCAUCGGCUAACUCCGUGCCAGCAGCCGCGGUAAUACGGAGGAUGCGAGCGUUAUCCGGAUUUAUUGGGUUUAAAGGGUGCGUAGGCGGGCUGUUAAGUCAGCGGUCAAAUGUCGGGGCUCAACCCCGGCCUGCCGUUGAAACUGGCGGCCUCGAGUGGGCGAGAAGUAUGCGGAAUGCGUGGUGUAGCGGUGAAAUGCAUAGAUAUCACGCAGAACUCCGAUUGCGAAGGCAGCAUACCGGCGCCCGACUGACGCUGAGGCACGAAAGCGUGGGUAUCGAACAGGAUUAGAUACCCUAGUA
Molecule: ribosomal RNA, 464 nt
Filed under: uncultured bacterium
Lineage: Bacteria
Description: bacterial SSU rRNA
Rfam family: Bacterial small subunit ribosomal RNA
Source: RNAcentral